CCACAUGAUACCAAGAUAUGCGCAGUCAUUUCGUUUCUGUGCUCCAAGCUGCAGAACUUCUUUCAAUUCAACCCCUUUCUGCCAUUAAUUUAGGAACAUCAGAAGGUUACAAUACCACUAAAAGUCAAGAGUCCAAUAACUCCUGGCAGUAUUUCUUUGGUCAGCUAUUUACUAACUACACCACCCACACAUGGUUGAUAAUUGGCAUCUUCAUUUUUAUCCUGGUCAUCCUCUGCAUUCUGUGCUGCCGACAAAGAUGUGUUCCAAAUGCCAGGGAAAAGUAAGCCUCCUGUCCUUCAUACACAUUUAAUGAAUAUGAGCACAUGUUCAUAACCAUUUUCUGAUUGUUCUCUCUGUGUCCUGUCAGUAGUUCCGAGACACCCCAGUGUGACCCUCAUGACAAUGAGGGUGUGGCCAUGUACAGCAACAUUGCUGGUGUCCCUAAUAGGGAAAAGACGAACUGCAUCACGAUGGACAGCACUGAGUCAAAGAACCCAGAUUCCAAUGAAGUUUGUUAUGCCUCGGUGAAACACAGAGAUCACAGGGAAGCGCCUCACAGGAUCAGGUGUGGACAGGGUUCGGAGUAUGCUGCCAUUGUCUUUGAUAGGUCAAGCCUCGGAACUACAGGAAAUGUCCCGGAAAGGAAGUGGGAGUAAUACUCAGUCUCUUUAUGAAAGCCAGUGAUUCGUUUGCCUCGAUCUUCUAUCAAAUCUUGGAUUCUAAUAUUGUUGUGAUGAUUGUUUUAUCUCUUCAUGACAUUUGUGAUCUCCAUUUUUGCACCACAAGCUUCUGGAAAGUUCUGCUUGGUUCUACCAGACAUAUGCAAGUGAGAGCUUCUUUGCAGUGGUUGUCUAAAAUAACAAAAACCACAUUUAUUGUUGCAUGACUUUUACAAAUUUAACACAAAGAAUACUGGUUUUAAAUAGGCUUGCAUUUUGAAUAAGGUGAGAGUUCCUUUGUACAUGUUCCAUUGUAAGAGAAAAUCAAUAUUUAUAGUUGCAUGGCUUUUAGACAUCAAACACCAAGAAUAGUGUGUUUUAAGCAGUGUUGGUUUUUGAAUGAAACCACACUUGUCAGUUUGUUUUCACCCAGUUUGCAAAAGGAUCAGCAACUGAAAAUGAGUGUAUGUUUAUUAUUGAUAUGCACAGAAUGCACAGACUUACCUAGUAUUUUUUCACUUUUACAUUUAUUAGAUGCAUUUAUUUAAAGUGGCCAACAGGUUAAAAGCAAAAAAAUACAGCAAAUACAUAAAAAUAAAAGUUUUAAAACAAGGUAUAAAGCA
RNAcentral lists this long non-coding RNA (1282 nucleotides) under Scleropages formosus (Asian bonytongue). RNAcentral's name for it is "lncRNA (ENSSFOG00015028693.1)". Lineage: Eukaryota; Metazoa; Chordata; Actinopteri; Osteoglossiformes; Osteoglossidae. The record is from RNAcentral.